AUGUUAGAGUGAUUGAAUCGAUUAGGGAACAGCCUGCGAGGAGCUGUCUUGACUUCACGAUGACAGGUCACCUGAGCCAUGAAACUAGUCGCUCUGCCUGCUGCCAUAAAAGCAGUUCGAACUAUGACAAUAAUUGCCUGCCUGCCCAUUUCCAGGUGUCCCAAACAGGGCAGCCUGGAUUGUUCGACGCUGGACAAGACGCACAUCCUGAUAGGACGCAAUAUGGCGCAGUGGAAAGAGUCGUUGAGUGGCGAGAUCAACUUGCCUGAUCACAUCCAGCAGGACAGCAACGGGCAAGUGGCUCUCAAAGUUCAACGAGCCCAUCAGCGCUUCGUCUCUUGGUCUCAAGAUUCUCCAAACAAUCCUUGCCCAGAAGCGGUGAGGCUAAUUCACUCGCAAAGCGGCCAUUUCGGCAGUGGUGGCGAUGUUGACAAGGUCAAUACGAGCGGAGAACACGGGCCUUUGGUUUCGCCAUUUAUCCCGCGUCAGCGCCUCCUAUGGGCCACGGUCAGCCGUGACCAGGAAUGGGUCAUGUGGAUGUACAACUUCAACAAGGACAGUUACGAGUCGUUGAUUAAGCAGUGCAACAGUCUGGCUCAGUGGCAUAACGCCCGCUGGGCUUUGCUCUCCAGCAUCGUUGCCCAUAAAUUGGGUCUCUUCCACAAUCAGCAGUGCUCCGGCAGAGUCCACGCCCACCAAACUCUGCGCAACAAUCCGUUUCUGGUCCUGUCGGAAAUGGAAGCCUUGGUCAAGCUGCACGUCCCGCCCGCCUCACGCGAUUAUAACGCCGGCUCCAGCCGUAAGCCCAGUCAGUCCAGUUUGCCUCACUUGGCUCAUCUGGAGACUUUUAGGGAUAGCAAACCAGCCAGACUGCUGAGCAAUACGCCUUACGGGAAUCAAGGAGAUCUGGUGACUCGGCAGGGUCAGCAAUGGAUCGAGAAGAGAUAUUCCGAACGUCGGGAAGAAAUGCAACGGCUGCUGGUGCUGUUUCCGGCGCGAUCUUCGGGAAAUAAUAUUUCGAUUACUGAAGAUAUUAUCCAGCUGUUCAAACAAGUAGCGAGAAUCAUUCACUACUGCUUCACGCCGCUUCUCUUCCUGCCGAAGUGGCGACUUCAGGUGGCCAGAACUCGGGAUCCUAACAUGGACAUGAUUACGCUUUCAUCAACCAACGAAUUUUUAAAAUAUCGGCCGAGACACGAGUCUGGAAAUUCCAUCAACAGUGGCGGCCGGAACAGUCCCAGAAAUUCGCCUCCUUGCCAACCUAGAAGACCGACAGAUGAUCACUGGCACCAGUCGUUGUGUUCUGCCUAUUUACAAGAAUACGUGCAAUAUCUCCACACACUGGGCUUCUUGCAGAUGGAAAUCAAACCUUUGGCUACCAAACGGGGCCCUAAAAGCGCUAUGAAAAGUCAAAGACUCGCUGGAGAUGAGACGGGUAGAGUUCGUCAUGUUUCGCAUCCUUCGCGAAUUAAUGGCGGUCCUAGUCCAUCGUCGCCAUCAUCUUCUUCCAAUUCCGACGUCAAUACGCUUUAUUUUCACAAAUCUCAUCAAGGUGGAAUCCUGGUGUGCGAAGUUGCCAUUCAAGAACCUUUUUUCUACACCAAAGUCUACGCGUUGGAAAUGUCCCGGCUGUUGCAAGUCGGUACGGGCGGAUCUUUUCCUAACGUGGCGCACAUCGCAUCGGCCCAAGCGCAUUACACCGAUCGCUUUCUCAAUGAAUGCGAUCACAUCAAAGUUCUACUUCACUUGCACUCGUUCACGUACGACUUCCACCUUCGCAGUCUCAACUCAUUCGUCGCUGGCCGUCAUUACCUAUUGAAACCCGGUUUCCAUUUAAUCAGCUUCUUGGACGAUUUUAACAAAUAUUACAACAAGGCUCCUAACUUUGCCAGAAAUCAAGUUGUGAGAAACAGUCUGACACUCAAAGAUCCUGCAACUCCGGGUGAACAGCUGUUCAAUUAUCUGUUGAGUCACGAGCGCCGUUACGGGUUCCACGUCCUCAGGAUGGCUUCUUCGACCAACUCGGACAGUGAUGAAGUCACGACGGAGUAUGUUUUAGCGAAACAGUGGCCCUUCAAAACCAUACAACGGGAAUAUGGUGAUCUCAAACACGCGGAUGACUAUGACGUGACGUUGCUGGUGUCCCACGAAUCGGUCUGCGAAGAUCCAAUGACCAUUUUAAUCAAAUUUUACGUCAUCAUGACCUAAAAGCGGGAAUACUAUCCCAGAUUGUUGAUGGAGAAGAAACCAGGCAAAUUCCGGACCGUGUCUACGGCGACUCCGGUUAAGGCGGCCUCAGCACCCCCAUUGGAAAUAGUCAAUCGUGUGGCGGAGGAUUCCGUCUCGGCUGCCCAGGAUGAUUCAACCCAAGUCGUCGAGAAAGAGCCAGCCUCUGUCGACCAACCAAAGAUUUCCAAGAGCAAUUUAGAUUUACAGUUGGCGGAUAAAGAAAGGAAAACGCCAACUCCCGAGCUGCUGUCGGUCAGUAAUCCUGAGGUGAGCUUCGCUCA
This is an RNA transcript of Daphnia pulex (common water flea), 2510 nucleotides long. It is a transcript of the gene named KICSTOR complex protein SZT2-like, with no coding region annotated. The transcript has 9 exons. Lineage: Eukaryota; Metazoa; Arthropoda; Branchiopoda; Diplostraca; Daphniidae. The record is from RefSeq and is a predicted model, not a curated record.